UGGGGGAUCGUCUAAUGGUAGGACAGUGGACUCUGGAUCCAUAUGUGAGGGUUCGAAUCCUUCUCCCCCAGCCA
RNAcentral lists this transfer RNA (74 nucleotides) under Actinomycetota bacterium. RNAcentral's name for it is "Actinobacteria bacterium (sediment metagenome) tRNA-Gln". It matches the Rfam family "tRNA". Rfam says of the family: Transfer RNA (tRNA) molecules are approximately 80 nucleotides in length. Their secondary structure includes four short double-helical elements and three loops (D, anti-codon, and T loops). Lineage: Bacteria; Bacillati; Actinomycetota. The record is from RNAcentral.